This 70-nucleotide transfer RNA is filed under the name Dipodomys ordii (Ord's kangaroo rat). It matches the Rfam family "tRNA". From Rfam's summary of the family: Transfer RNA (tRNA) molecules are approximately 80 nucleotides in length. Their secondary structure includes four short double-helical elements and three loops (D, anti-codon, and T loops). Further hydrogen bonds mediate the characteristic L-shaped molecular structure. tRNAs have two regions of fundamental functional importance: the anti-codon, which is responsible for specific mRNA codon recognition, and the 3' end, to which the tRNAs corresponding amino acid is attached (by aminoacyl-tRNA synthetases). tRNAs cope with the degeneracy of the genetic code in two manners: having more than one tRNA (with a specific anti-codon) for a particular amino acid; and 'wobble' base-pairing, i.e. permitting non-standard base-pairing at the 3rd anti-codon position. Lineage: Eukaryota; Metazoa; Chordata; Mammalia; Rodentia; Heteromyidae. The record is from Rfam by way of RNAcentral.
GGAAAUGUGGUUUAGCAGUAGAAUGCUUGCCUAGUAUGCAUGAAGCUCUGGGUUCAAUUCCUCAGUACCA